GGUCAGUAGGUUGGUCGUGCCACCGGUACGUACUGGUCUCACUGAUUCCUCCUUCCUGAAGAACCGUAAUGCCAUUAAUUUGGUGUUGCGGGGAAACAGGACUGUUACUUUGAAAAAAUUAGAGUGUUUAAAGCAAGCUAACGCUUGAAUACAUUAGCAUGGAAUAAUGAAAUAGGACGAUCGAUCCUAUUUUAUUGGUUUCUAGGAUUGACGUA
RNAcentral lists this ribosomal RNA (215 nucleotides) under Glomeromycotina sp. Its description in RNAcentral is "partial small subunit ribosomal RNA". The stretch from base 39 to 215 matches the Rfam family "Eukaryotic small subunit ribosomal RNA", at positions 686 to 864 of the family's 1831-position model. Lineage: Eukaryota; Fungi; Glomeromycota. The record is from RNAcentral.